This 450-nucleotide ribosomal RNA is filed under the name uncultured bacterium. RNAcentral describes it as "bacterial SSU rRNA". It matches the Rfam family "Bacterial small subunit ribosomal RNA", at positions 29 to 524 of the family's 1533-position model. The record is from RNAcentral.
AACGAACGCUGGCGGCAUGCCUAACACAUGCAAGUCGAACGAGACCUUCGGGUCUAGUGGCGCACGGGUGCGUAACGCGUGGGAAUCUGCCCUUGGGUUCGGAAUAACAGCGAGAAAUUGCUGCUAAUACCGGAUGAUGACGUAAGUCCAAAGAUUUAUCGCCCAAGGAUGAGCCCGCGUAGGAUUAGCUAGUUGGUGAGGUAAAGGCUCACCAAGGCGACGAUCCUUAGCUGGUCUGAGAGGAUGAUCAGCCACACUGGGACUGAGACACGGCCCAGACUCCUAAGGGAGGCGGCAGUGGGGAAUAUUGGACAAUGGGCGAAAGCCUGAUCCAGCAAUGCCGCGUGAGUGAUGAAGGCCUUAGGGUUGUAAAGCUCUUUUACCCGGGAUGAUAAUGACAGUACCGGGAGAAUAAGCUCCGGCUAACUCCGUGCCAGCAGCCGCGGUAAU